This 343-nucleotide long non-coding RNA is filed under the name Fukomys damarensis (Damara mole-rat). RNAcentral's name for it is "lncRNA (ENSFDAG00000023784.1)". The record is from RNAcentral. Lineage: Eukaryota; Metazoa; Chordata; Mammalia; Rodentia; Bathyergidae.
CCCUGACGUGACAAAGACUCUAAGAUUCGGAACGGUCAGUCCUUAACUGGCCUCUGCCAACAGACUUGGGGAGAGGAGCCCUUAAUGUUGACAAGGCACGCGGCCAUCAGCCCUUCAGAGAGCAGACAGUGAGAAUUCAGGGACAGGAGCAAAAAGGUGUGCUCAUUGCUGGACGGUGCAUCUCUGGCCUAGGUGGUUGUGAUCACGAGCACUGUGACCUUCCGGUGGAGUGGGGGGUGCUGCGUCUCCCUUCCCCGCUACCGGGGAACACCUGGACUUGCUUCAGGGAACAAACGGACCUCAGAUCUUCAGCAGCAGUCAUUUGCAUCCAGCCAUUACCAGC